This is a long non-coding RNA of Pongo pygmaeus (Bornean orangutan), 5340 nucleotides long. RefSeq lists it as uncharacterized. The record is from RefSeq and is a predicted model, not a curated record. The transcript has 3 exons. Lineage: Eukaryota; Metazoa; Chordata; Mammalia; Primates; Hominidae.
GCUCUGUCACCCAGGCUGGAGUGCAGUGACAUGAUCUUGGCUCACUGCAACCUCCGCCUCCUGAGUAGCUGGGAUUACAGGCGCCCACCAUCAUGCCUGGCUAAUUUUUUUUUGUAUUUUUAGUAGAGACGGGGUUUCACCAUGUUGGCCAGGCUGGUCUCAAAUUCCUGACCUCAAGUGAUCUGCCCACAUCGGCCUCCCAAAGUGCUGGGAUUACAGGCGUGAGCCACCGUGCCUGGCCAUAAACAGUUUUGGAAGUUUACACAACUAUUCUUGAUAAACAUAAAGCUCAACUGGUGGACAUCAAAGUGCCAUGCAUGUCAGAAAUUAGCCUACUGGCUGUGGGCAUGUCUUUUUUUUUUUGGAGGAGAUGGACAGUGUCAGUCUCCUCCAAAAAAUAAGUUGGUGAUGGGUAGGUAAUUUAAAAGCUUCUAUUGUAAAAUCUAGUCUCUUUGACACUGCCCUGUCCACUGCAGCCAUAUCUCCCAAUACUCAAGAAUCCUGAGAACAUGAGUGGUCAUGACACUUACAUCAUUCACCAAUAAAACCCUCUAUCCUUCCUCCUCAAAAUCAGGAUCGCUCUCCUAUCCUCCCCAUUGACCCCCACCCCUGACAAGCUUCACCUCCACUCUGUGCCCUACCAUUAUCCUCUAGAGCCUCAACUUCUCUUUGAAGAAGAAGAUCCUUCUAACAUUUUGGCAACAUAUUCCCUCCACUUAAUCAACCUCUAAUUCUAAUUCCCAUUUUCAGUUUCAGUCACCGACCAGUGCAAUCACAGCUUAGACUUCAUUUGUCACUUAAAACUCACCUACAGUAUAUUACCCAUUUUGUGGUUUAUCCACUCAGCCCAUGAGCCACUCUCCCCUUCCUGAAGGUUAUGACUGGAGAGAGGAGAGAGAGAGAACAAUUGAGUUUCUGAGGAUUUUCCAGGUCCUGUGAAAUCCAGCUCAAUUCUCUUCCUUGGGUUCUGUGAGAUACCCAAGCGGCUUUCCAAUAAAUCUCCCUUUAUUGCUUAAGUUAGCUUGAAGUAGGUUUCUAGAACAAUUAACUCUACCAUAUAUAAGAAAAAAAAAUUUCUGUCAGAAGUGAAUUGCGGUGAGUCUCGAGAGUUGAAGUAUAAACAUGAACUUGUGUUCCUUUUCUAAUAACCCUUCCUCCUGAGUAGUGGUUUGCUUAACAGUUUCGUGGCCAAGUCCAUAAUUUUCCAAUCAUUCUUAAUAGUAUACUCUUAUUUCAAUAUUCAAGAUUGCUUCUUUUAUAGCUUCCAUAUCAAAGUCCAUUCUAGGCUCAUCUCCUUGCCUCCAGCCUCCUUUCCUAAACUAUGUUCCUCUCCACCUGUCCUAACUCAAGUUAAACCUAUUUUUGAACCUAGAGGCUUACAGUAAAGGGGAGGGCUUAUCUUUUUAUCUUUUUUUUUUUAAAUGAACUUUCCCUUUAUUUUCUCUCUUUGAGUCUCAUAUUCUCAUACAUCUCCUAUGAAGGAAGCAAAGAGAGAAUGAAGAAACCACUUAAGUAGUCAAAGGUAUCUCUGCCGUCUGCUACUGGCUACCUGUGUGAACAUUAUAUGGUUCUUAUAAGGAAUGUUUGGUUUUCUUGGAGCAAUGUUCAGCUUCAUGACUAUCUUUGCUACCAAAAGAACUCCUUCUAGAAUGGAAUCCAUAUUUAAUCGGGACACUAUCCCAAUGUCAUUUUCAGGUUGGAUGUUCCAUUGUUUAGCCUGGAAAAACUGCAGUCUGAUGGUUUCUGCCCUUCUGCUAGUCUCCACGACCCUUCAGGUGGAGCCACAGGAAUCCCUGACACACUCUUGUUUACCCUUUAAGGGCUGCAGAGAAGUGAAAUUAGUUGAAAAUGGCCUCCUUCUUCUUCUAAGGCACAAUACAUUAUGAUUAUUUCAGGGUUGGCACUCUUGACCAGUGUCUUAUUAAAAAAUGCUCAGUGAAAUUUCUUCAUUCAAACAGUAGCAAACAUGAGUUGCUAUAUUAAAAUAUGCUCCCAAAUUCAGAAAAUACAUGCCAAAUAGCCCCUUCUUCUCCAUAAUGGAGGAAUAAGACUGAAUGUGCAAUGCUCUGUACUGCUAAGAUCUCAGAACUCUUCCAUAAUAACUUUAUUUCAGUAUUCUACACCUCAAUGAUGACACUAGGAGAUUCAUAUUCUGCCAAUUUUCCCAUAUCAGUCAAGGACUCAAUAUAAAACAGUUGGCACACUUAAAUUAGAAUAAUUAGAGGAGGGUUUAUUUGCAAAGGAACAACUUAUGGUGGAUAGGGUGUGACGGAACCAAAAAGGGAUAGUGCAGGAGCCUAAGGCUGGCAGCACUGUAGCUGGCGCCAUCCUUGGGCCCAAAGGAAAGAGGAAAGAGAGCAGUAACUAGUCGAAGGGUAUGAAAGCUCAUAAUAUUAUCCUUCCAGGGAAGAAAGAAGAGUGCAUAAAGAUAGAAAAUAGAUUUAAAGAGACCAAGUAGCUGUGUUGAGGAAACGCAAAGAAAUUCAGAAUCCUAUCAGAUACAUUUAACAAAGGGAUUGAAAUAAUUUAAAAGAAUCAAGCAGAAAUUCUGAGGGUGAAAAAUGUAACUGAUAUACUGAAGAGUGCAUCAGAGUCUCUUAACAGAAGAAUAGACUAAGCAGAAGAAAGAAUUAUCUUGAAGACAGGCUAUUUGAAAACAGUCAAAUAAAAAAAUAAAAAAAUGAAAAUACACAAUCAGAAGGGACAAAAGAAAAAAUAAUAAAAAAGAAUGAAGCACAUCUAUGAGAUCUAGAAAAUAGCCCCAAAGGGGCAAAUCUAAGAGUUAUUGGCCUUAAAGAGGAGGUAGAGAAAGAGAUAGGAGUAAAAAGUUUAAAGGGAUAAUAACAGUAAACUUCCCAAACCUAGAGAAAGAUAUCAAAAUCCUAAUACAAGAAGGUUAUAGAACACCAAGCAGAUUUAACCCAAAGAAAACUACCUCAAGGCUUUUAAUAAUCAAACUACCAAGGGUCAAGCAUAAAGAAACGAUUCCAACAGCAGCAAGAGAAAAGAAAUGAAUAACAUAAAAUGGAGCUCCAAUAGGUCUCACAGCAGACUUUUCAAUGGAAACCUUACAGGCCAGGAGAGAGCGGCAUGACAUAUUUAAAGUGCUGAAGGAAAAGAAAACAUUUACUCUAGGAUAAUAUAUAUCGUGAAAAUAUCCUUCAAAUGUGAAGAAGAAAUAAAGACUUCCCCAGACAGACAAAAGCUGAAUGAUUUCAUCAACACAAGACCUGUUCUACAAGAAAUGCUAACGAGUUCUUCAAUUUGAAAGAAAAGGACAUUAAUGAGCAAUAAGAAAUCAUCUGAAGGUCCAAAACUCAUUGGUAAUAGUAAGUACACAGAAAAACACAGAAUAUUAAAACACUGUAACCAUGAUUGUAAACUACUCUUUUUUUUUUCCAGGUUCAAGCGAUUCUUCUGCCUCAGCCUCCCAGUUAGCUGGGACUACAGCACUGCUGGGUUAGGAACUCCCAGACUGAGCUGGUCUCAGCAAGUGGCGUCCAUUUGUGGGGGCUCAAAUCCAGGUCGAAGGGUCACCGGAGCAACAGUUGGAAUGGAAAACUAGCUGGAGGACACAGGAGUACUCUUAAAGCAAUCCCUGUGAUACAGCAUUACCUGAAAAGAAGAUAACCUGGGGUAGAGGUUAUGCUUGUUUCUCCAGGCCAAAAUCAACAGCUGAUUUGGAUACCAUCAAGACACCUGAAACCUUAUCAUGAGCCAGAUUCCAAGAGGAUCGCGAGGACCCCCCAGUUGCAGCCAUGUCAAGACUGAUGCUGAGGAGGACCCCAACUGUCACGAGCAACACCCGUCAAACACAGCCACCCACCUGGGGACAGAUCAAGAAGCUGUCACAGAUGGCGGAAGAAAACCUGAGGAAAGCAGGACAACCAGUCACAAUGAAUAAUUUAAUGGUAGCUAUGAUAGCGGUUAUCACCACUGCCAUGAGUAUUCCUUCAAUAAGGACUGACACAGAGAACAGUUAUACUUACUGGGCAUAUUUAUCAAUCUUGGCUGGCAAUAAUGCCUGGAUGCAAUCACUCUGACACAGUUACACAUGCUUUCUGAUCUCAGUAUUUAACAUAAUAAAUCUGCUCAUAUAUUUGAGGUAUACCAUCCUCAAAAACCUUUUUGUAAACAGGAUUGGACCCAGUUAGAAAAAAAUGAACGUACUUGUUUAGGAAGAUUGCUUUGCAGAACAGACAGAGGUGCUGCACAAUGAUUCCUAUGGAAUCAUUAUUAAUUGGUACCCUAAGGGGAUGUUUAGCUUGAAUUGCACCUCUCAGUCUGUGUGCCACGGCCACACUAUGUUCAGAUGAUCUGAACAAAACGGUCAGAUGGUAGAAAUGAUAAGAAGUAUGGCAAAAGUUCCUAUUAUCUGGAACCAUGGUGGUAUAGUGGCACCUCAACCUCAAAUGAUAUGGCCUGCUCUAGGAGCUUAACAUAAGGAUUUGUGGAAACUAUUAGAUGUUCUUAAUAAGAUCAAAAUUUGGGAAAGAAUAAAAAAGCAUCUAGAAGGACACUCUACAAACUUGUUUUUGGAUAUGGCAAAAUUAAAAGAACAAAUAUUUAAAGCAUCCCAGGCACACCUGACCUUAAUGCCAGGAACUGGAGUGCUUAAAGGAGCUGCAGACAGAUUAGCAGCUAGUAACCCAUUAGAAUGGAUAAAAACACUUGGAAGCUCUGUAUUUCAAUGAUGAUUGUGCUUUUAAUCUAUGUUGUUUGUCUUUGUAUAGUCUGCAGAUGUGGAUCCUGACUCCUGUGAGAAGUAGCUCACCGUGGCAAAGCUGCCUUUGCUUUUAUCUCUUUGCAAAUCAAAGAAAGGAGACAUGUUGGGAGCAGGCCCCCCAAAAUCUGGCCAUAAACUGUCCCCAAAACUGGCCAUAAACAAAAUCUCUGCAGCACUGUAACAUGUUCAUAAUGGCCCCAACGCCCAAGCUGGAAGGUUGUGGGUUUAUGGGAAUGAGGGCAAGGAACACCUGGCCCGCCCAGGAUGGAAAACUGCUUAAAGGCGUUCUUAAGCCACAAACAAUAGCAUGAGUGAUCUGUGCCUUAAGGACAUGCUCCUGCUGCAGUUAACUAGCCUAAUCUAUUCCUUUAAUCCGGCCCAUCCCUUCGUUUUCCAUAAGGGAUACUUUUAGUUAAUUUAACAUCUAUAGAGACAAUGCUAAUGACUGGGUUGCUGUUAAUAAAUACGUGGGUAAAUCUCUGUUCGGGGGCUCUCAGCUCUGAAGGCUGUGAGACCCCUGAUUUCCCACUCCACAUCUCUAUAUUUCUGUGUGUGUGUCUUUAAUUCCUCUAGCGCCACUGGGUUACGGUCUCCCCGACUGAGUUGGUCUUGGC